RNAcentral lists this ribosomal RNA (445 nucleotides) under uncultured bacterium. RNAcentral's name for it is "bacterial SSU rRNA". It matches the Rfam family "Bacterial small subunit ribosomal RNA", at positions 28 to 476 of the family's 1533-position model. The record is from RNAcentral.
GAUGAACGCUAGCGGCAGGCCUAACACAUGCAAGUCGAGGGAGAAGCCCUUCGGGGCAGAAACCGGCGCACGGGUGCGUAACGCGUAUGCAACCUACCUUUCACAGGGGGAUAGCCCGAAGAAAUUUGGAUUAAUACCCCAUAAUAUUAUUGGAUGGCAUCAUUUGAUAAUUAAAAUUACGAUGGUGAAAGAUGGGCAUGCGUCCUAUUAGCUAGUUGGAGUGGUAACGGCACCCCAAGGCUACGAUAGGUAGGGGUCCUGAGAGGGAGAUCCCCCACACUGGUACUGAGACAGGGACCAGACUCCUACGGGAGGCAGCAGUGAGGAAUAUUGGUCAAUGGUCGGAAGACUGAACCAGCCAUGCCGCGUGCAGGAAGAAUGCCUUAUGGGUUGUAAACUGCUUUUAUAUGGGAAGAAUAAGGAGUACGUGUACUUUGANGACGGU